This 465-nucleotide ribosomal RNA is filed under the name uncultured bacterium. Its description in RNAcentral is "partial 16S ribosomal RNA". It matches the Rfam family "Bacterial small subunit ribosomal RNA", at positions 28 to 507 of the family's 1533-position model. The record is from RNAcentral.
GACGAACGCUGGCGGCGUGCUUAACACAUGCAAGUCGAACGGAAAGGCCCUGCUUGCCGGGUACUCGAGUGGCGAACGGGUGAGUAACACGUGGGUGAUCUGCCCUGCACUUCGGGAUAAGCCUGGGAAACUGGGUCUAAUACCGGAUAGGAGCCAUUUUUAGUGUGAUGGUUGGAAAGUUUUUUCGGUGUAGGAUGAGCUCGCGGCCUAUCAGCUUGUUGGUGGGGUAAUGGCCUACCAAGGCGGCGACGGGUAGCCGGCCUGAGAGGGUGGACGGCCACAUUGGGACUGAGAGAAGGCCCAGACUCCUACGGGAGGCAGCAGGGGGGAAUAUUGCACAAGUGGCGCAAGCCGGAUGCAGCGACGCCGCGGGGGGGAGGACGGCCUUAGGGUUGUAAACGCAUUUCGCUAGGGACGAAGCUUUUUGUGACGGUACCUAGAGAAGAAGCACCGGCUAACUACGUG